GGUCAAUAUGAUGAACAAAACUAAUUGUCUGCAUGCAAAUUGAAGACGUUUUAAUCACCAAGAUCGCUGAGACU
Molecule: non-coding RNA, 74 nt
Organism: Macrostomum lignano
Lineage: Eukaryota; Metazoa; Platyhelminthes; Macrostomidae
Source: Rfam